UACGUAGGGUGCAAGCGUUGUCCGGAAUUAUUGGGCGUAAAGGGCUCGUAGGCGGUCCAUCACGUCGGGAGUGAAAAGCUGGGGCUUAACCCCAGUCCUGCUUCCGAUACGGGUGGACUAGAGGUAGGUAGGGGAGAUCGGAAUUCCUGGUGUAGCGGUGAAAUGCGCAGAUAUCAGGAGGAACACCGGUGGCGAAGGCGGAUCUCUGGGCCUUACCUGACGCUGAGGAGCGAAAGCAUGGGGAGCAAACAGG
Molecule: ribosomal RNA, 253 nt
Filed under: uncultured bacterium
Lineage: Bacteria
Description: partial 16S ribosomal RNA
Rfam family: Bacterial small subunit ribosomal RNA
Source: RNAcentral